AGAGGAAGGAGAAGUCGUAACAAGGUUUCCGUAGGUGAACCUGCGGAAGGAUCAUUGUGGAAAUCGAACGGAAGAAUGACCCGCGAAUCGUCGUUGCGUACCGGAGAGGGCUCGCGAGCGCCUGACGCUCGUGCGGCUCGCGUCGUGUCGGCGCGGAUGGUACUCGAGACCAGCGUCGUAUCGAUGAACAAACAACGUCAGCACGGAUCGUGCCAAGGAGCAGCAUGGAGGGAAUCGUUGUCCCCGGCCUCCGACCGUCUUCGACGAGGGGCGGGAGGCGGGGGGACAUACGCAAUCUCUACUCGAGUCUAAAGGACUCUCGGCAACGGAUAUCUCGGCUCUUGCAUCGAUGAAGAACGUAGCGAAAUGCGAUACUUGGUGUGAAUUGCAGAAUCCCGCGAACCAUCAAUUCUUUGAACGCAAGUUGCGCCCGAAGCCCUCGGGCGAGGGCACGCCUGCCUGGGCGUCGUGAAUCCCCUUGCCCCUCGGCACCCGUGUUCAUGCAUGCGCAUCGACGGGGAUAUGCUCGGGCGCAGAGUAUGGUCUCCCGUGGGAUCGGCGUGCACGGCAUGUCGAGGUGCGGUUGGCCGAAAAUCGAGCAUGGCGGUGACGGGCACCCCGGCGUUCGGUGGAUCGAAUGAGAUUGGCUGCGCCGUGGUCUCGGCAUGCUGCGGGCUCCGGACUUUGACAUCCCCGAGUGCGAUCCCAGGUCAGGCGGGACUA
RNAcentral lists this ribosomal RNA (723 nucleotides) under Henriettea squamulosa. RNAcentral's name for it is "eukaryotic LSU rRNA". The stretch from base 315 to 469 matches the Rfam family "5.8S ribosomal RNA". The record is from RNAcentral. Lineage: Eukaryota; Viridiplantae; Streptophyta; Magnoliopsida; Myrtales; Melastomataceae.